Molecule: ribosomal RNA, 447 nt
Filed under: uncultured bacterium
Lineage: Bacteria
Description: partial 16S ribosomal RNA
Rfam family: Bacterial small subunit ribosomal RNA
Source: RNAcentral
AAUCAACGUUGGCGGCAGGCUUAACACAUGCAAGUCGAACGGUCCGCAAGGAUAGUGGCAAACGGGUGAGUAAUACAUGGGAAUGUACCUUUUAGUUCGGGAUAACAGCGGGAAACCGCUGCUAAUACCGGAUGCGCUCUACGGAGGAAAGAUUUAUCGCUGAACGAUCAGCCCAUGCCAGAUUAGCUAGUUGGUGAGGUAAUGGCUCACCAAGGCAGUGAUCUGUAGCGGGUCUGAGAGGAUGAUCCGCCACACUGGGACUGCGAUACGGCCCAGACUCCUACGGGAGGCAGCAGUGAGGAAUAUUGGACAAUGGAGGCAACUCUGAUCCAGCCAUGCCGCGUGAAUGAUGAAGGCCUUAGGGUUGUAAAGUUCUUUAAGUGGGGAAGAUAAUGACGGUACCCACAGAAUAAGCACCGGCUAACUUCGUGCCAGCAGCCGCAGUAA